UGGGGAAUUUUGGACAAUGGGCGAAAGCCUGAUCCAGCAAUGCCGCGUGUGUGAAGAAGGCCUUCGGGUUGUAAAGCACUUUUGUCCGGAAAGAAAUCCUUGGCUCUAAUACAGUCGGGGGAUGACGGUACCGGAAGAAUAAGCACCGGCUAACUACGUGCCAGCAGCCGCGGUAAUACGUAGGGUGCAAGCGUUAAUCGGAAUUACUGGGCGUAAAGCGUGCGCAGGCGGUUUGCUAAGACCGAAUGUGAAAUCCCCGGGCUCAACCUGGGAACUGCAUUGGUGACUGGGCAGGCUAGACGUAUGGCAGGAGGGGGGUAGAAUUCCACGUGUAGCAGUGAAAAUGCGUAGAGAUGUGGAGGAAUACCGAUGGCGAA
This 377-nucleotide ribosomal RNA is filed under the name uncultured bacterium. Its description in RNAcentral is "partial 16S ribosomal RNA". It matches the Rfam family "Bacterial small subunit ribosomal RNA", at positions 355 to 719 of the family's 1533-position model. The record is from RNAcentral.